CUCGAAGUUUAGCGAAGAACAUGUUAAAGUUAGUCCAAAACUUCGCUUUUAUGAAACUUUUUCGAAAUAGAAUGGCGAUGCAUUGUAGAAUGACAGGUUAGUAGUAAAUUUAGCUAUCUUUUAAACGUUUGUGAGUUGUUCUUGUUAAGUUAUAGUUGUUGUUUGAAACGCGUGUUAUGGCCGAAAUGCAUUGAAUUACUUCGCUUGUCGCUCGAGAGCUUCGUCCUCACUCAGUCGCUUCAUUUCCUUCGUAUUUCUGCCACAUUUUCUGCCAGUAAUAUUCAGAAACACCCCUGUUUUAUUUGCAGUUUCAGGGCAAAAAUUUGACGAGAUAGUUAACCGACUCAAGUUGCCGACUGGUCGAAGUCUCGAACCACGAGGUAAGCAUAAUGGCCAUGAUGGCUUUUCUUUCUUGUUUGUUUCUCGCUUUUUAAGCUUCCCUCGUACAACUUCAACACUUUAUAACAUUGUUGAAGCUUUAUAAACACUUUGAACUAAGUUUAGUUUAAAUUUUGUUGAACAUUUUGUCUGUAAGCGAGCGACAUGCAGACUCAUUUUAGGCAUGUUCAAUUCGACAUCAUGGCGCAUAUAUUUUCAAGCGUUCUAGCUUGUACAAACUUGUAGUUUAUGUACAUAUUGUACUCCGAAUGAAAAAGGCUAAGCUUUUUAAGUUUUUUAAGAUUGUCUAAGUUGAAUUUUACCGAAAUUUUUAACCAAAUUCAGGCAUCAAAUGGCCUCGUGGUCGUGUCCUGAUUAAAUGCAUGCACGAAUUCUUUCAAAUUAUAUUGAUAGAAAUAUUUAGUUUAGUUAGUGCGCUACACUCCCCUGUUCUUGAAAGCUCGUGUAUGUAAAGUUUGGUUGUUUGUCUUGUGUGCUUCUUUGCCUUGUAGGCGGUUUUUCUUCGGGUUUCUUCCCUCGCUUAAACGGAGUUUAAGAUGCACCACGCGGUCGGCUCAAUGACGCUGUUUUCUAAAUUUCAGCUCAAGUGAAUGAACGCUAAAGCAUUGGUUUACUGUAAAUGUUUGAAGCUUUUUCAAAUAACCUUACAAACGGCAAGGUUCGGCUAAAGCGAUGCAACAUUUGCUGAAAUUUUAACUUUAAGAAUUAAGAAGAAACCUUGUGGGUCGCAAUAAGUUUUCACGUUGGUUGAAAGACGUGAUAAUAUGCUUAGUUUAACGUUGUGAAAGAAUGACGAAGCCGUUCGGAAUACCCUAAGACAAGAAAUUAUUGACAGUUUCUGUCUGCCGGCCGCGUCGUGGACCUUAAACUCUCUAAAAACUAGUUGUCGACAACGUGUGUCGCGAGCCUUUGGUGAAUUGAGCGACCACACCCUAAGUUGUGUUGUCAAUAUUAAAUAACUUGAUUAUCAUCAUCAUCGACUUUGAAAUAUUUUAGAUUAAUAAGAGUUAAUUCUUUCAAAUCUUUUAGGCUGUCUCAAGGCAAAACACUAAAGAAAGGCCUCUGCACUUGGAAGAGACGCUCGCCUGAUAGUCUGAAGACAAUGACGGAAGGACAUGACAAAUGCCGAUCACACCAGCUAGUCAGCGCUAUAGACAUUGACUCGAUUCCUUUCCUAACCAUGAGCGUUCAUCGUCAGCUGUUAUUUGUCGGCCAAAUUUCACGGAGAUUGCUGCAACAGGAUUUCAGAUCACAACCAGUCCUGCACCAGAGACCAUAGUAGCGUACACCACAGCCCGACACAAAUCAUCAUUGGAUUUCAUUGAACGCUCCAAAUGCGACUGCGAUGCAAAGGUCUGUCAAACCACAACCAACUCUGUGCCACCAGAUACGCUAGUCAGAGACGCUAUAACCAAUGCAUCACACCAUAGGCUGAGACUAACGGAUGCCUACAGCAGUUGCAUAAGAAGAACGUCGUAUUGCACAAGGUAAUUUUUUCUGCGCUUUGCAAUGUGAUUUUGUAUUCUUUGUUUGCAAUCACGUGACUUUCAUCCAAAUGACGGGCAAUCAAACAACUUCUCCUAUCAGAAUGGUUGUAGCAAGAGAAACUGAACGCUAAUUCAACUUUUGAGUCUUAAACUGUCUCUAAUCAAAAUAGCCAUUUUGUGACUUAUGUAUACUUUGAUUUUUUUCAUUUCAGAUUCUCGACGAAAGUGCGUGAUUCUCGUUGAUCGUGUCCUCGAAAGUGCGUGAUUCUCGUCGUAAGGUACGUGUUUUCGAAAGUGCGUGAUUCUCGUUGUGCGUGUUCUCGAAAGUUCGUGGGGCCACCCUGAGGACGCCCAAAUGCACAAAACAUAUUUAAACGUGGCAUUUUUUCUAUAAUUUAGAAUUUUUUCCAAUUUUACACAUUUCUUGGUGUUUAUGAGAAGCUCUUUGAUGAAAUCGAAAAUUUUUGAAAUUCGGAAGGUUUCAUCUGGGAGUUUGUUUAUUUGAAAGAAAUUUGAAAUGAAAUUUUGAAGUUUACAUCACUUUGGUAUUUGGUUAAACGCUAGAUAAAAUCAUGCCAGAUGAAUGGCUGACCAUUCGUCGAGGUUCGGUGAAAUUUUGGCUCUGACUUUUCCCGACCUGCAGCCGAGUUUCUCCGAUCGAUUGUUACGAGUCAACUAGCACAGUUGUAAGACCUGGCCAUUCUUACAUCUCUGCUUUUUGUACGUGGCAUGAGAUUGGGAUAAUUCGUCUGCAGGCCUGGAAAAAUCGAGUCGAAAUGUAGCCAAGCCUUGAUUAGUGACCAGUUUUUCGACUGUAUGGCUUUAUCCAGCGUUUUGCUGUUAUCAAUUUGAUGCAGACUUUGGGAUUUCUGCUCAAAUUUUUUCCAUAUAAACAUUCUUUGGGGUUUAACUUUUUAGCAAUUUCAGAAUUUUUGACACGUUAAGGUGUUGCUCGCAGAUACCAUAAAUUUGUUUCUAAAAAUUCACAAAAAUUGACCAAAACGUCAUUUGUGAUGUCGGAUGGGAGGCCUAAUGGUAGUUGUGGAUAUUAUUGGAUUACUGUGGAUUAAUGGAUUAAUGUGAACAUUUAUGGAUUACUACGUACACCAUGGACUAAUGUGAACAUUUAUGGAUAAAUAUGAACAUUUACGGAUAAACAUUUAUCAACGGUUACCACCAGAUAUACGGCGAUAACGAAGCUACUCGACGGUUAAAGAGAUGUCUGUCUCGAGGUUAGAGGGUUUUGAUUGUUAGCUUGUUAACAGGUUGUAGUUAGUUAGCCUGUUAACAGGCAGUGUGGUAGUUAGCCUGCUAACAGGCUGUAGUAUUUGGCCUGCUAACAGGCGGUGUUUCGGUUGAAUUUUGUACCCAGGACUUAAGUAUGCAUGUGUUCGGUAAAAUCUCUGGGUCAAAAUGAUUUAAAAUUCCUGGCGGUCUAUCGUUAGCAGUACAUUUCCACGCAAGGUUGAUUUUCCGUUCAGAUGCAAAAACAUUCAG
Non-coding RNA from Paramuricea clavata, 3383 nucleotides. NCBI's taxonomy places the organism in Eukaryota, Metazoa, Cnidaria, Anthozoa, Malacalcyonacea, Plexauridae. The record is from the annotation of a GenBank genome assembly.